This 60-nucleotide transfer RNA is filed under the name Brachylecithum sp. PakAb2. RNAcentral's name for it is "tRNA-Trp". The record is from RNAcentral. Lineage: Eukaryota; Metazoa; Platyhelminthes; Trematoda; Plagiorchiida; Dicrocoeliidae.
AGUAGGUUAGGUUAAUUAGAUCGUCUGUUUUCAAAAUAGGAGGUACUGAAGUACUUACUG